RNAcentral lists this ribosomal RNA (460 nucleotides) under Nocardiopsis lucentensis. RNAcentral describes it as "bacterial SSU rRNA". It matches the Rfam family "Bacterial small subunit ribosomal RNA", at positions 16 to 479 of the family's 1533-position model. Lineage: Bacteria; Bacillati; Actinomycetota; Actinomycetes; Streptosporangiales; Nocardiopsidaceae. The record is from RNAcentral.
GGUGUGGCUCAGGACGAACGCUGGCGGCGUGCUUAACACAUGCAAGUCGAGCGGUAAGGCCCUUCGGGGUACACGAGCGGCGAACGGGUGAGUAACACGUGAGCAACCUGCCCCUGACUCCGGGAUAAGCGGUGGAAACGCCGUCUAAUACCGGAUAUGACACACCAUCUCCUGGUGGUGUGUGGAAAGUUUUGUCGGUCAGGGAUGGGCUCGCGGCCUAUCAGCUAGUUGGUGGGGUAAAGGCCUACCAAGGCGAUUACGGGUAGCCGGCCUGAGAGGGCGACCGGCCACACUGGGACUGAGACACGGCCCAGACUCCUGCGGGAGGCAGCAGUGGGGAAUAUUGCACAAUGGGCGAAAGCCUGAUGCAGCGACGCCGCGUGGGGGAUGACGGCCUUCGGGUUGUAAACCUCUUUUACCACCAACGCAGGCCCCGGGUUCUCUCGGGGUUGACGGUAGG